CCAAGGAGUCUAACAUGUGCGCGAGUCAUUGGGACCGCAAAACCUAAAGGCGUAAUGAAAGUGAAGGUCGACCUUGCGUCGACUAAGGGAGGAUGGGUUGCGUUACGAUGCAGCCCCGCACUCCCGGGGCGUCUCGUACUCAUUGCGAGUAGAGGCGCACCUAGAGCGUACACGUUGGGACCCGAAAGAUGGUGAACUAUGCCUGGUCAGGACGAAGUCAGGGGAAACCCUGAUGGAGGUCCGUAGCGAUUCUGACGUGCAAAUCGAUCGUCGGAACUGGGUAUAGGGGCGAAAGACUAAUCGAACCAUCUAGUAGCUGGUUCCCUCCGAAGUUUCCCUCAGGAUAGCUGGCACUCGCGUGAGCGAGUCUCAUCUGGUAAAGCGAAUGAUUAGAGGCCUUGGGGCCGAAACGACCUCAACCUAUUCUCAAACUUUAAAUGGGUGAGAUCUCUGGCUUGCUUGAACAGUGAAGCCACGAGAUUUCGGAUCAGAGUGCCAAGUGGGCCAAUUUU
RNAcentral lists this ribosomal RNA (512 nucleotides) under Ceroptres cerri. Its description in RNAcentral is "eukaryotic LSU rRNA". It matches the Rfam family "Eukaryotic large subunit ribosomal RNA", at positions 666 to 1138 of the family's 3401-position model. The record is from RNAcentral. Lineage: Eukaryota; Metazoa; Arthropoda; Insecta; Hymenoptera; Cynipidae.